This 497-nucleotide ribosomal RNA is filed under the name uncultured bacterium. RNAcentral describes it as "partial 16S ribosomal RNA". It matches the Rfam family "Bacterial small subunit ribosomal RNA", at positions 28 to 507 of the family's 1533-position model. The record is from RNAcentral.
GACGAACGCUGGCGGCGUGCCUAAUACAUGCAAGUAGAACGCUGAAGAGAGGAGCUUGCUCUUCUUGGAUGAGUUGCGAACGGGUGAGUAACGCGUAGGUAACCUGCCUUGUAGCGGGGGAUAACUAUUGGAAACGAUAGCUAAUACCGCAUAACAAUGGAUGACACAUGUCAUUUAUUUGAAAGGUGCAAUUGCUCCACUACAAGAUGGACCUGCGUUGUAUUAGCUAGUAGGUGAGGUAAUGGCUCACCUAGGCGACGAUACAUAGCCGACCUGAGAGGGUGAUCGGCCACACUGGGACUGAGACACGGCCCAGACUCCUACGGGGGGCAGCAGUAGGGAAUCUUCGGCAAUGGGGGCAACCCUGACCGAGCAACGCCGCGUGAGUGAAGAAGGUUUUCGGAUCGUAAAGCUCUGUUGUAAGUCAAGAACGGGUGUGAGAGUGGAAAGUUCACACUGUGACGGUAGCUGACCAGAAAGGGACGGCUAACUACGUG